RNAcentral lists this ribosomal RNA (269 nucleotides) under uncultured bacterium. Its description in RNAcentral is "partial 16S ribosomal RNA". It matches the Rfam family "Bacterial small subunit ribosomal RNA", at positions 793 to 1055 of the family's 1533-position model. The record is from RNAcentral.
GUCCUAGCCGUAAACUAUGAGUACUGAAUUGGAGGGCCCUCCAUAGCCCUCCAGUUGAAGCGAAAGUGUUAAGUACUCCGCCUGGGGAGUAUGGUCGCAAGGCUGAAACUCAAAGAAAUUGACGGGGGCUCACACAAGCGGUGGAUGAUGUGGCUUAAUUCGAGGCUACGCGAAGAACCUUAUCCUAGUCUUGACAUGCACGGAUUAACUCCCGGAAACGGGAGCCAGGCCUUCGGGUACAACGUGCACAGGUGCUGCAUGGCUGUCGU